Molecule: ribosomal RNA, 1014 nt
Filed under: Triticum aestivum (bread wheat)
Lineage: Eukaryota; Viridiplantae; Streptophyta; Magnoliopsida; Poales; Poaceae
Description: partial small subunit ribosomal RNA
Source: RNAcentral
AUGGACUACUACAACAUCCUCAAGGUGAACCGGAAUGCCACAUUGGAGGACCUCAAGAAGUCGUACCGGCGGCUCGCUAGGAUGUGGCACCCCGACAAGAAUCCGACUGGUGGCGCCGAGGCUGAGGCCAGGUUCAAGCAGAUAACUGAGGCCUACGAGGUACUAAGUGAUCCAGAAAAGCGUGCAAUUUAUGACCAAUAUGGUGAAGAAGGUUUAAAGGGUAUGCCUCCACCUGGUUCGCAAAGCCGGACCGCCACAGCUUCUGGCUCAAGUGGGCCAAGUAAUUUCCGUUACAAUCCUAGUGAUCCAGAUGAUAUCUUUAAUGAGUUCAUGGCGAGCAACAAGCCAUACACCUUUGAUCAAGACCGAAGGCGCUUUCAACCAGCACACCGGACCUCAGCAGUGAAUGGUCGAAGUGAAGCUUCUUCCAGUUCUCAGAAGGAGCCUGGUACCAGUACAAGCCAUCUGGAAAAGCCACCGCCUGUGGAGAAGACAUUACUUUGCACUCUUGAAGAGCUGUAUAAUGGAACAAAAAGGAAGAUGAAGAUCACUAGGAAUGUCGCAAAAUCAGAUAGAAAGGUAGAAGUUGAGACAGAGAUCUUGCAGGUCGAGGUGUUGCCAGGCUGGAAAAAGGGAACAAAGAUGACAUUUCCCAACAAAGGCGACACGCUGCACGGCUAUUUACCGCAGGACCUGACCUUCGUCAUCGACAUGAAGCCCCAUGACACCUACACUCUGGAAGGGAACAACCUCCUGGUAAGCCAGGAGAUCCCCCUGGUGGACGCUCUUGCCGGGACAACCAUAAACCUCAGGACCCUUGACGGCAGGAGCCUUCCCGUCAGGGUGGAGGAAGUGGUGCGCCCUGGGCAGGAGAUUGUGAUCGAGAAUGAAGGGUGGCCGAUCAGGAAGGAGCCUGGGAAGAAGGGGAGCCUGAGGAUCAGGUUCGACGUGGCCUUCCCGGCGAGGCUAUCCUCGUCGCAGCGAGCUGCCAUCAGGCGGAUCAUGGGGAGCUAA